CCUACGGGUGGCUGCAGUGGGGAAUAUUGGGCAAUGGGCGCAAGCCUGACCCAGCAACGCCGCGUGAAGGAAGAAGGCUUUCGGGUUGUAAACUUCUUUUCUCAGGGACGAAGCAAGUGACGGUACCUGAGGAAUAAGCCACGGCUAACUACGUGCCAGCAGCCCCGGGAAUCCGUAGGCGGCAAGCGUUAUCCGGAUUUAAUGGGUGUAAAGGGUGUGUAGGCGGGACUGGCAGUCAGAUGGGAAAACCAUGGGCUCAACCUAUGGCCUGCAUUUGAAACUGUAGUUCUUGAGUACUGGAGAGGCAGACGGAAUGCCUGGUGUAGCGGUGAAAUGCGUAGAUAUUAGGAGGAACACCAGUGGCGAAGGCAGUCUGCUGGACAGCAACUGACGCUGAGGCGCGAAAGCGUGGGGAGCAAACAGGAUUAGAUACCCUAGUAGUC
RNAcentral lists this ribosomal RNA (443 nucleotides) under uncultured bacterium. RNAcentral describes it as "partial 16S ribosomal RNA". It matches the Rfam family "Bacterial small subunit ribosomal RNA", at positions 338 to 795 of the family's 1533-position model. The record is from RNAcentral.